This 590-nucleotide ribosomal RNA is filed under the name uncultured bacterium. RNAcentral's name for it is "bacterial SSU rRNA". It matches the Rfam family "Bacterial small subunit ribosomal RNA", at positions 338 to 916 of the family's 1533-position model. The record is from RNAcentral.
CCUACGGGAGGCAGCAGUGGGGAAUAUUGGACAAUGGGCGCAAGCCUGAUCCAGCCAUACCGCGUGUGUGAAGAAGGCCUUUUGGUUGUAAAGCACUUUAAGCGAGGAGGAGGCUCUUGAGGAUAAUACCCUUGAUGAGUGGACGUUACUCGCAGAAUAAGCACCGGCUAACUCUGUGCCAGCAGCCGCGGUAAUACAGAGGGUGCGAGCGUUAAUCGGAAUUACUGGGCGUAAAGCGCGCGUAGGCGGCUUGUUAAGUCGGAUGUGAAAUCCCCGGGCUCAACCUGGGCACUGCAUUCGAUACUGGCAAGCUAGAGUAUGGGAGAGGAAGGUAGAAUUCCAGGUGUAGCGGUGAAAUGCGUAGAGAUCUGGAGGAAUACCGAUGGCGAAGGCAGCCUUCUGGCCUAAUACUGACGCUGAGGUGCGAAAGCAUGGGGAGCAAACAGGAUUAGAUACCCUGGUAGUCCAUGCCGUAAACGAUGUCAACUAGCCGUUGGGGACCUUGAGUCUUUAGUGGCGCAGCUAACGCGAUAAGUUGACCCGCCUGGGGAGUACGGUCGCGAAGACUAAAACUCAAAAGGAAUUGACGG